This 714-nucleotide ribosomal RNA is filed under the name Photinus brimleyi. RNAcentral describes it as "SSU rRNA". It matches the Rfam family "Eukaryotic small subunit ribosomal RNA", at positions 719 to 1323 of the family's 1831-position model. The record is from RNAcentral. Lineage: Eukaryota; Metazoa; Arthropoda; Insecta; Coleoptera; Lampyridae.
GAAAUUGUGUCCUCGGCCGCCGGUUCGUCGCUCGCGACGCCAACUGGCGCGCACCGCUGGACGUCCAGCCGGUACAACGAACUCGCCUACGGGGUGCUCUUAACCGAGUGUCCAGGCGGGGGCCGGCAACGUUACUUUGAACAAAUUAAAGUGCUUAAAGCAGGCUAAAUUGCGCUCGCAUACACGCGCAUGGAAUAAUCGAAUAGGACCUCCGUUCUAUUUUGUUGGGUUUUUGUGGAACGACAGACGGAGGUAAUGAUCAAUGGGUGCGGAUGGGGGCAUUCGUAUUGCGACGUUAGAGGUGAAAUUCUUGGAUCGUCGCAAGACGGACUUAAGCGAAAGCAUUUGCCAAAAACGCUUUCAUCGAUCAAGAACGAAAGUUAGAGGUUCGAAGGCGAUCAGAUACCGCCCUAGUUCUAACCAUAAACUAUGCCAGCUAGCGAUCCGCCGAAGUUACUUCUAUGACUCGGCGGGCAGCUUCCGGGAAACCAAAGCUUUCGGGUUCCGGGGGAAGUAUGGUUGCAAAGCUGAAACUUAAAGGAAUUGACGGAAGGGCACCACCAGGAGUGGAGCCUGCGGCUUAAUUUGACUCAACACGGGAAACCUCACCAGGCCCGGACACCGGAAGGAUUGACAGAUUGAGAGCUCUUUCUUGAUUCGGUGGGUGGUGGUGCAUGGCCGUUCUUAGUUGGUGGAGCGAUUUGUCUGGUUAAU